This is a long non-coding RNA of Pipistrellus kuhlii (Kuhl's pipistrelle), 6290 nucleotides long. RefSeq lists it as uncharacterized. Lineage: Eukaryota; Metazoa; Chordata; Mammalia; Chiroptera; Vespertilionidae. The record is from RefSeq and is a predicted model, not a curated record. The transcript is spliced from 2 exons.
UAUCAUUGUUAUAAACUUCAAUUUUAGUAGUACCAUUGUUGCCUUAGAAGACAGGGCUUUUAUUUAUUUUUUUAUUUUAUUUUUUGAAAGUUAGAACAGACUUCUCGAAGUACCUGCAUUCUGGGUCACUCAUACUCCCAAUAACAUGAAUAAAAUAUAACCUAAAAUAAAAUCUAUAUGCAGUCUUACUUGACCAAUUUUACUUUAAAUCCAAAACUAGUUUCUGGAAAAGACUAUUCCGUCGAAGACAGACAGUCAUGGACACAACUGUUACUUAUUUUCUGUUGGUGCUAAAGAUCCCUGUCAAAUAAAAGUCCACAGAGAUUCUUAUAAAUGCAUUCAGGCUCAUUAAUUCAAAAGGCUUUUGAAGAUUUACAGAAACUAUAGCCCAAAAGCACUUACAUUAAUACUCCACAGAUUUGCCUUUCAUAGCAAAAAUGCAUUUAUAUAGUGGCCCAUCUACACGAAAGGAGCUUAAAUAAUAAACAAUGGCUUUUAAUGGGGCCUAAUUCUAUAGAAUUCUUCAAGUGAUACUUUAGUCCUGAAAAGCUCUAAAAAUUAUCCGUGUAAAUAUUCGGUAAAUAUUAUGAUUAUGUAAAUUCUGUGUCCUCUCCUGCUUCCAAUUUCUCAUAAAGAAUACUUAUUUUUUGAAAGGUACAUUGGCAAGUAAGAGUUUUCCAUGACUUAGUCCAGUGAAACUUUUGGACCCACAACUGAGUACCCAUGAACCAUAACUGGGUAUUUCUUUUCCUAAUUUCUUCCCAAAUUCAUCAUCACUAUUUAUCACUUUUAAUUAUUUUUGUUAAAAUGUUUCUCCAAAUAAUAAGAAUAUGCCUUUCCUCAUAUGAACAUCUAAUGUCUAUCAGAUUUAAGUUAUCUUGUUGAUUAAAUCAUUGAAAUUAAGAACCCUUUGCUUGCUUACUAUGACUGCCUAAAAAAAUCCUCAAUUAAAGUAAUGACUUUAGAGAAAGAGUGAAGCAUAUUAUUAACAGACAAAACAAACUGUUCACAUCUAGACACUCCCUUUAUUUCCAGGACUACAUUUGUCAAUUAUCUCUGACCUCUGCUUCUUAGAAGGUGAAGGAACAAUGCUUAGCCAUUUAAAGAGAAUAUUUAAUGUCACAUAAAAAACAAAACAAAACAAAACAAAAAAAAACUGGUGGCAGAAUAGGAGAAAAAACUGUGCUCUAUGCUAAUAUGUAUCUUUGAAAAGUAUGUAUUUGUAUAAAUUACUAAGAACUGAACAAAUCAUUUCCUAUAUCAAGAUCAUGUGGGGAAGUUGGAGUAAACCUGUGCCGAGAGAUUGAUAUGCAGGCAAGGUUAUAAGAAGAAAAAAAAACAAAAACUCACAAAGCACAAUGAUGCAUUCGCUCCCCCUGUAAUCUUGAACACAGUUUCCCCCCAGGCCAUCCUGACGCUGCCUGGGGCAUUCUGACCUAGCAGCUACAACCUGACAGAGCGACUUGGCUUACCUGGGCGCCUGGCUUUGCCAUGGCAACCUGAGUCUUGACCUUUCGUCUUUUUCAACACGUUGCCUGCUUUCAGCAUCUGCUCUCUUUGAGAUCUUUGUUUUGUUUUCUCCAUCCCUAACUUGGUGAAUUCAACUUUGACUCCUACAGCUUGCAGAUUUUUCCUGGAAAUCUUAACCCUAGACUGAACCUUGAGCCCUCGUGUAUCAAGCCUUAGUGGACAUAAAGGCCUCCUUCCCUGGCACUUUCGAUUGCAUAAUGGCAAGCAUUUCUACUCACGCUAUGAACCACGCUGCCAUUUAUCGUUGAAAGCAAUCUCACUGAUGCAUGAAGGACAACUUUCUCCCAUGUGAUUGAUUGUUGUGACUGUGAAUCUCCCCAGAUCAAUGUCAUCUCCUCUUCUGUUAAAAGGCAUUGCUCUACCUUUGCUCUUUAUCACUUGAGACAAAGAGAGGCCAAUCUCUAAGCAGAUCUCCUCUAAUCAGAACAUCCUGCUUCUCUGUCUCCGUUUCCAGCGAAGGCAGAAUUUCUUUGGAUGAUACUGACAGUGUUUUCACAAAUCAACAACACACAACACCUUCCACUCACCAUUAUCAGCCUGUAACACAUAAUUGCAUUGUUCUGGUACUGUACAAUGACCUCCUGGCUGUGUUCAAAUUUCAGAAGCCAGUUUUGCCAUUAGUCAUAAAAUAUCCAUGUGAGUUAUUAAUAUUUUGAAUUGUAUUCUGAUACACUUCCUCCAACACAGCUCAGUAUUCUUGAGCCUUAAAUAAUUUACACAAACACUGGACACAUUCAGAGUUGUGUAUAAACAUAGAAUACAUAUUGUCUCUAGACAUUUUGCCAAUUUCAUUAACAACACAAAAUAUGUGGAGGUCACAGAAGGAAUUUGUCAAGUGUUUCAUGUGGUAACUUUUAUUGCUAAAGAAAGAUCUAAAAAUCUAGUUGAAAUGUUCACAUUAGAUGGUUGCAAAAUUAGCUUCAUUUCUACUCUGCAUCUCUGCAAAAACAAACAUACACAGAUGCAAAGAAAAAUAGAUAUGGAUUAAUUUGGAACUGUGCAUCCACUGUGUCUUUCAUUAAAGAUGGUAAACAAACCAUGCUCUCAGAUACAAUCCAUGUAGUUACAGCUGUUCUUACAUGGUUGAAAUAUAGUGCCAUUGCAUCCCGACUGUUUAACUGAUGCACCACAUAUUUGAGUGUAGAGAAAAAUGGGGAUCUGUUUGUGUGUGUGUGGGUGGGUGGGGGGGAGGGAGUGGCAAUUUAAGCUGUGUUAGUGUUCCCACCGGCCAGUCCAUGUAACGAGCAGCACAUGGCCCUGGACAUGAGCUGCACUGAUUUCCCUCAGUUGGUGUCAGUUCCUAAGCACCUCUCAGGAUGUAACCUUGACAUUGUGUUGAACUCAAUUCCAAUGUUUCAAGAUAUGCAUUCCUUGCACAACAUGGCCCUUUGCAUGCAAGCCAACUCCUCCACCAGGGAGCAGCCACCUGACACGGUGCUCAAGGACACAGUGUGGGAUGGAUUUAGUGAGAGGCCAGGUAGGGUCCAAAACAGCCUUCGCCUUCAGUGUUUUCCAAGGUCUAUCCCAACUAUACACAAUUCUUGUCUCACCUAAUGACUUUAGAAACUAACCUGAAGACAUGACUCUACAUGAAACAUUGUAAAGUUUUUUAAAGAAUUUUAUGGGCCAAAAUAAAAUUAGCAAAAUACUGAUAAAAAGGUAAAUGGAAGAAACCUAUAAAACCUUUAACUAUUAUUUGAAUUAUUGAGCUGAACAAAAUAUGGUUCAAGGAGAAAUAAACUUUGGUUGCUUAUACAGUAUGUGAGCAAAUUAAUGUUAUUACAACACACACACACACACACACACACACACACACACACUUGUCAAAGAAAUUCUCACCAUAAAUGCAGGACUUGCAAGAUGAAAUUAUCUUCUAGGCUUAAGUUAAACACAGCUUGAGGUUUAGAAAUACAUGUCUGACAUUUAGAUGGGAAUUAAACUUUCAGAGUCUAUUCUGGGAAAAAUAGGCCUUGUGGCAGCAGGCCAGAAAACCUUGGGAAUUUCCUGGGCUUCCAUAAAAUUCCUUCUUCCUCAGAGGAAAGAAGAGAGAAGCUCAUCUUCACCCUGGGGAAUCUCAGAAUGUCAUCAAAGGCCACCUAGUUCCUUUCUUUUAGACUGUAAGAAAACAGGACCUAAUUAACUACAAAAUUUUAAGGGAAAAUAAGCAGAUUCUAAAUGAUUUAGUGCAUGCAUGCUGUUUUUUAAAUUUUUUAUUUGGAGGAUUAUAGCAGUCAGGAUAGGCUAUUGUAUGCUGUGGUAACUAAAUGUCAAUGGAUUAAAACAGUAAUUUCUUACUCACAUAACAAGGCUUAUUUUUCCUCCCUUGGGAAAAUAACAAAAGUGACAAAAGCAAAAAAAUAUAAAAGAACAAGGUUUUCAAUUGAAAGAAGCUAAAAAUUGUGAUUAGGAGCUCACCACUAAAUGUUCGGAGACAAAGCCUUUUAAAUACAUAAAAUAUGUAAACUAGUUCUUACAAACACAUUAAAGGGAUAUAUGAUAAUAAACUAUCCAAACACCCAGAUAAGUCACACAGAUAAGUGAUUGUGGGGCCAAUCUUACCUCAUAUAUGAGGUUAAAUCAUACUAUCUCAUGAGUAUAGAAGUCUACAUGAAGUGUUCUGAUAUGAUUAGCAUAAAAGCAAUUAAGUCCAAGAACCUAUCAAGAACAUUUUUGAUAUUACUCAAUUCAUUUCAUUCCUUUUACAUCUUUAUGCUGAAUACUGAGCUUUAGACAUUUUAAAUAAGGUUAUGAUAAUUAGCCAAUCAAAACAGAUUCUCAACUCCAAAGAGUCACCUAAAAUGUUCACAUAUACUUAGGUCCCAAAGGAUGCCAAAUCCAAGAACAUCCCCCAGCUCUCAUUUGCCUGGUGUAAAGUGAGCUCUAUACCCUGUCACCUCUCACUGACCUUCUGACUUCAGGGAUUUAUGGGAUAGAGACUGCUUGGAGUACCACCUUCUAUGGAUUGUUCCAGUUGUUUUGAAAACACAUCCACAUUUCUACAACUCCUGUCUGGAAGCAUGCUUUUCAGGACAGCACAGAAACUAAUACAUUGGUAUCAAACUUAGAUCAACUACUUUUUAAAAUUUUUUUCCAAUAAUCCUCUGAACAUUUUCAGAUAUGCACAUUUAUUAUUUAUUCUUAAACAUUACAUGGUCAUAAUGGCACAAAGAGGAUUAAGACACAGAACCAGACUCUUAAGAGAUUUCACAGUCACAUGAGGGCCAUGGAUACAGUGCAGAAUUACAGUGCAGUGUGGCAGUGAUGAUGAGGAAAUAACAUGAUGUCCUGUAGUGGGCCAGAGGGAGGGUGAUUAGCUGGCUUGAGGGGGCCAGAAAGGGCCUCGAAGACAGAGGAGAGCAGGCAGAGGGAGGGUGACAGAGCACGCUCAGGUGGGAGGGACACCUGGAAAGAGUGGCAACACAGAAGGACACGGCAGGUAUAGCAGGAGUGGUGCAGUGGGUGGGGACAUCCUCAGGUAUGAAGCUGGUAGACUUGGACAGCUCCAUAUGCCGGUCUUCCCCAAAGGGACGAUGAUGUGGGAUCACUGGAGGAUUUCAGAUACAGUAGCAGCAUCCUGUGAGCUCUUCUUUGCAGCAGGACAACUCUGGGAGACCCUUACUUCCUUUGAGCCCACAUAUCCUAAUCUAUGAAAUGACCCUCUAUGGGUUUUCUUUGCACUGGUAUUCAAUGGUUCCUUGAAUGUGUGUAGAGUUCAAGGUUGACCCUAUCAUUGGUCAAGGCCACCUUCUAUUUCCAUCUCCCAACUUGUUGGAGGCUGUAGUUGGAGGGUCACUUCAGUUCCAGGCGAUGGGACAUGGAGCUUUUCCUUCAGCUUGGAAACAGAACAUUUUCUAUAGCCAGAGCCCUUGUUUAACCAGUAACAUCAACUGGUGAUGAAGCAUGACGCAUCGUUAAUACAGUGAUAAAUUUCCCAUUAGGAGCAGGGCACUGGCUGCCAAAUGGGAGGGCGAAAAGUUAAAAAAACAAAACAAAGCACAUGAAACCAACCCAUUAUGGGUUGACAAAGACUUUUAUUGUCACUGGCACUUUCAGGGAAAGCCGUCACAGAACCUUAAUUAAUAAAUAGCCACGGCCCCGCCAGGCGAGGGGAGGCCGUGCCUGGGUACCUGCCGGGGAGCAACUUGUAGCUGGCUGUGCUCUGAGAAGUGAAUGAACGAGUUGGGGACGAUCAUGGAAGAAGGGAAUCAAGCUCUUUGCUGUCGACAAUUGAACUCUAUAAUAACCCCCCUUGAAAAUGAAUAAAACACACGCCUUCCUCGAGCUUUCAGUAGCCUCUCGACAGUGUGACAGUUGCUGAUUUUUUCAAUAAACAUGAUGUCAAUUAUGCCUUUGAUCCACCGUGCCAAAGUCACGUGCGAGAAGAAUUGAGGAAACGGAGUCUCUGUUUUUUGACACUUCAUAUAACAAUGCUUUUCUGCUUUGUUUACAUCAUCCUGAGGCAAAGCAGCUGCCGAUCUAUACAUUGGGUACAAUCGUUCAGAUGUCAUGGGUUCAUCAUUUGUCAGAGAAACCUGGUCUCAGGAAGAAUGAAGACCACGUGGCAUGGCAUUGCAUUACGUGUGCCUUCCACAUCAAGAUGGAAGGAGAUGUUGCGUUUUCUUCCAGAUUGUUUCUAUCCUACAAAGUCAUCUUCUAUCAAAGUGCAAACAAGCUCACUAGCUGGAAUCCUUUUCCCCUCCCAAGUUCUAUGUAAAAUGUAAGCCACAAAGCUUAAGCUAAUCACUAAAAUUAUUUCCUUC